Crotalus tigris (Tiger rattlesnake) is the source of this 406-nucleotide long non-coding RNA. RefSeq lists it as uncharacterized. The record is from RefSeq and is a predicted model, not a curated record. Lineage: Eukaryota; Metazoa; Chordata; Lepidosauria; Squamata; Viperidae. The transcript is spliced from 3 exons.
CAUCGUCACCUCAUCAUACUGCAGUGGGAAUGAGGUCCUGGCCCUGCUCUUGGCCAAGGUGAAAAAGUGCCAUUGAAUGCCUCAAGAAGAAGAACAAUCCAGCCAUCCUCUUCCUGCAACUACGUUGCUGGUUAAAUGCAAGAGUCAAGCCUUUGGAGAAGACCUGGAAGCUCUUAAUGAUUUGACUGAAACACCCUCACAUGACUGUUCAUGAGCUGAACAGAAAGGGCCUUCUCCAUAUGUGUGAGAAUGACAUGGUGAUUAUGAGCCUUGAGGAGCUCUGCCACACAAUCCUCGAUGGGCUCUGCAAGGUCCAGCCCUGACAUUAUCUUGGAGUUCUUGGGUUUGGCGGACCAGCUUGGCUUCCAAAUGCAGGAUGUUUGAAGACCCCUGAAUGCCUCCUUGG